Molecule: ribosomal RNA, 261 nt
Filed under: uncultured prokaryote
Description: partial 16S ribosomal RNA
Rfam family: Bacterial small subunit ribosomal RNA
Source: RNAcentral
UACGUAGGUGGCAAGCGUUAUCCGGAAUUAUUGGGCGUAAAGAGCGCGCAGGUGGUUGAUUAAGUCUGAUGUGAAAGCCCACGGCUUAACCGUGGAGGGUCAUUGGAAACUGGUCGACUUGAGUGCAGAAGAGGGAAGUGGAAUUCCAUGUGUAGCUGUGAAAUGCGUAGAGAUAUGGAGGAACACCAGUGGCGAAGGCGGCUUCCUGGUCUGUAACUGACACUGAGGCGCGAAAGCGUGGGGAGCAAACAGGAUUAGAUA